GAUGAACGCUGGCGGCGUGCCUAAUACAUGCAAGUCGAGCGAACGGACGAGAAGCUUGCUUCUCUGAUGUUAGCGGCGGACGGGUGAGUAACACGCGGAUAACCUACCUAUAAGACUGGGAUAACUUCGGGAAACCGGAGCUAAUACCGGAUAAUAUUUUGAACCGCAUGGUUCAAAAGUGAAAGGCGGUCUUGCUGUCACUUAUAGAUGGAUCCGCGCUGCAUUAGCUAGUUGGUAAGGUAACGGCUUACCAAGGCAACGAUGCAUAGCCGACCUGAGAGGGUGAUCGGCCACACUGGAACUGAGACACGGUCCAGACUCCUACGGGAGGCAGCAGUAGGGAAUCUUCCGCAAUGGGCGAAAGCCUGACGGAGCAACGCCGCGUGAGUGAUGAAGGUCUUCGGAUCGUAAAACUCUGUUAUUAGGGAAGAACAUAUGUGUAAGUAACUGUGCACAUCUUGACGGUACCUAAUCAGAAAGCCACGGCUAACUACGUG
Molecule: ribosomal RNA, 497 nt
Filed under: uncultured bacterium
Lineage: Bacteria
Description: partial 16S ribosomal RNA
Rfam family: Bacterial small subunit ribosomal RNA
Source: RNAcentral